RNAcentral lists this ribosomal RNA (450 nucleotides) under uncultured bacterium. RNAcentral describes it as "bacterial SSU rRNA". It matches the Rfam family "Bacterial small subunit ribosomal RNA", at positions 64 to 507 of the family's 1533-position model. The record is from RNAcentral.
GAACGCGAAAAUCCCGCAAGGGAUCUGUAGAGUGGCAAACGGGUGAGUAACACGUGGGUGACCUGCCUUCGAGUGGGGGAUAACGUCCCGAAAGGGACGCUAAUACCGCAUGACAUCCUGCCUUUGAACAGGUGGAGAUCAAAGCUGGGGAUCGCAAGACCUAGCGCUUGAAGAGGGAUCCGCGGCCGAUUAGCUUGUUGGCGGGGUAAUGGCCCACCAAGGCAAUGAUCGGUAGCCGGACUGAGAGGUUGGCCGGCCACACUGGAACUGAGACACGGUCCAGACUCCUACGGGAGGCAGCAGUGGGGAAUCUUGCACAAUGGGCGAAAGCCUGAUGCAGCAACGCCGCGUGGGGGAUGAAGCUUUUCGGAGUGUAAACCCCUUUCGACCCGGAAGAAAGCCCGCAAGGGUUUGACGGUACGGGUAUAAGAAGCCCCGGCUAACUACGUG